AAGAUUAAGCCAUGCAUGUCUAAGUAUAAGCACUUUAUACUGUGAAACUGCGAAUGGCUCAUUAAAUCAGUUAUCGUUUAUUUGAUAGUACCUUACUACAUGGAUACCUGUGGUAAUUCUAGAGCUAAUACAUGCUAAAAACCCCGACUUCGGAAGGGGUGUAUUUAUUAGAUAAAAAACCAAUGCCCUUCGGGGCUCCUUGGUGAUUCAUAAUAACUUAACGAAUCGCAUGGCCUUGCGCCGGCGAUGGUUCAUUCAAAUUUCUGCCCUAUCAACUUUCGAUGGUAGGAUAGUGGCCUACCAUGGUGGCAACGGGUAACGGGGAAUUAGGGUUCGAUUCCGGAGAGGGAGCCUGAGAAACGGCUACCACAUCCAAGGAAGGCAGCAGGCGCGCAAAUUACCCAAUCCCGACACGGGGAGGUAGUGACAAUAAAUACUGAUACGGGGCUCUUUCGGGUCUCGUAAUUGGAAUGAGUACAAUCUAAAUCCCUUAACGAGGAACAAUUGGAGGGCAAGUCUGGUGCCAGCAGCCGCGGUAAUUCCAGCUCCAAUAGCGUAUAUUAAAGUUGUUGCAGUUAAAAAGCUCGUAGUUGAACCUUGGGUCUGGCUGGCCGGUCCGCCUCACCGCGAGUACUGGUCCGGCUGGACCUUUCCUUCUGGGGAAUCCCAUGGCCUUCACUGGCUGUGGGGGGAACCAGGACUUUUACUGUGAAAAAAUUAGAGUGUUCAAAGCAGGCCUUUGCUCGAAUACAUUAGCAUGGAAUAAUAGAAUAGGACGUGCGGUUCUAUUUUGUUGGUUUCUAGGACCGCCGUAAUGAUUAAUAGGGAUAGUCGGGGGCGUCAGUAUUCAGCUGUCAGAGGUGAAAUUCUUGGAUUUGCUGAAGACUAACUACUGCGAAAGCAUUCGCCAAGGAUGUUUUCAUUAAUCAGGGAACGAAAGUUAGGGGAUCGAAGACGAUCAGAUACCGUCGUAGUCUUAACCAUAAACUAUGCCGACUAGGGAUCGGGCGGUGUUUCUAUGAUGACCCGCUCGGCACC
Molecule: ribosomal RNA, 1038 nt
Filed under: Aspergillus terreus
Lineage: Eukaryota; Fungi; Ascomycota; Eurotiomycetes; Eurotiales; Aspergillaceae
Description: SSU rRNA
Rfam family: Eukaryotic small subunit ribosomal RNA
Source: RNAcentral